This is a non-coding RNA of Pelobates cultripes (western spadefoot toad), 496 nucleotides long. NCBI's taxonomy places the organism in Eukaryota, Metazoa, Chordata, Amphibia, Anura, Pelobatidae. The record is from the annotation of a GenBank genome assembly.
CAACACUUUUUAUUGUACCAGUGCCUUUACUCAUAUAUUCUCAGUGGCUUUUAUUUUAUUUUACUUUCAUUUUCUUAUUUUUUUAUCUACAUCCAUAGGUGGGGAUUAUACCACCAACGCUGGCACCACAGAGCAGUGAGCCUGCUCUAUGUCUGUAAGUAGAACCUUUAUAUUCACAUAAUUACAGUGUCUUACUGAGAGCACUAUCUGAGGCCUUUUUUAUUUUUUUGUCUUUGAGCAUCCAGACAACCACCAGCCAAGAACCAUCACCACCAUAUCCUGAAUAGUGGGGAUCAUAGGCGAUUCAUCCUAGAGCUGGCAGUAGCUCUCUUAAAUGUGAGUGUAAUACUAUUAUUUAUAAACAGGCCUCUCUAGCCCUGGCUUACUGCACUAUUAGGUCUUUCUUGUGUUUCUUCUCACCCACAUACAGAGACCCAAGAUUGCAAGACCCUCUAAGUACAAAGAACUGCAGUUGAAUCUACCUCCGGAAUAAGAG